UAGAAGGCUGUUAGGCAAAUCCGGCAGCGUAAUUCAAGGGUAUGGGACGAGCGAACUUGUUCGCGAAGCAAUCGGAAGUGGUUCCAAGAAAAGCCUCUAAGCUUCAGUCUAACGAGACCGUACCGCAAACCGACACAGGUGGGCGAGAUGAGUAUUCUAAGGCGCUUGAGAGAACUCGGGAGAAGGAACUCGGCAAAUUUGUACCGUAACUUCGGGAUAAGGUACGCCCUAGUAGUUUGACUGGCCUGCGCCAGGAGGACAAACGGGUUGCAAUAAAAAGGUGGCUGCGACUGUUUAAUAAAAACACAGCACUCUGCAAACACGAAAGUGGACGUAUAGGGUGUGACGCCUGCCCGGUGCUGGAAGAUUAAAUGAUGGGGUGCAAGCUCUUGAUUGAAGUCCCAGUAAACGGCGGCCGUAACAAUAACGGUCCUAAGGUAGCGAAAUUCCUUGUCGGGUAAGUUCCGACCUGCACGAAUGGCGUAACGAUGGCCACACUGUCUCCUCCCGAGACUCAUCGAAGUUGAAAUGUUUGUGAUGAUGCAAUCUACCCGCGGCUAGACAGAAAGACCCCAUGAACCUUUACUGUAGCUUUGCAUUGGACUUUGAACCAAUCUGUGUAGGAUAGGUGGGAGGCUUUGAAGUAGGGACGCCAGUCUCUAUGGAGCCAUCCUUGAAAUACCACCCUGGUUUGUUUGAGGUUCUAACCUUGGUCCGUUAUCCGGAUCGGGGACAGUGCAUGGUAGGCAGUUUGACUGGGGCGGUCUCCUCCCAAAGUGUAACGGAGGAGUUCGAAGGUACGCUAGAUACGGUCGGACAUCGUGUUGAUAGUGCAAUGGCAUAAGCGUGCUUAACUGCGAGACUGACAAGUCGAGCAGGUACGAAAGUAGGACAUAGUGAUCCGGUGGUUCUGUAUGGAAGGGCCAUCGCUCAACGGAUAAAAGGUACUCUGGGGAUAACAGGCUGAUUCCUCCCAAGAGUUCAUAUCGACGGGGGAGUUUGGCACCUCGAUGUCGGCUCAUCACAUCCUGGGGCUGUAGCCGGUCCCAAGGGUAUGGCUGUUCGCCAUUUAAAGUGGUACGUGAGCUGGGUUUAAAACGUCGUGAGACAGUUUGGUCCCUAUCUGCCGUGGGCGUUGGAAGUUUGAAGGGGGCUGCUCCUAGUACGAGAGGACCGGAGUGGACGAACCUCUGGUGUAUCGGUUGUCACGCCAGUGGCAUUGCCGAGUAGCUAAGUUCGGAAGAGAUAACCGCUGAAAGCAUCUAAGCGGGAAACUUGCCUUGAGAUGAGACUUCCCGGGGGUUUAACCCCCCUAAAGGGUCGUUCGAGACCAGGACGUUGAUAGGUCAGGUGUGGAAGCGCAGUAAUGCGUUAAGCUAACUGAUACUAAUUGCCCGUGAGGCUUGUCC
Molecule: ribosomal RNA, 1409 nt
Filed under: metagenome
Description: bacterial LSU rRNA
Rfam family: Bacterial large subunit ribosomal RNA
Source: RNAcentral